UAAAACCAGCACCUCAAGUGGUCAGGAGGAUUAUUGGGCCUAAAGCAUCCGUAGCCUGUUCUAUAAGUUUCCGGUUAAAUCCAUUAGCUCAACUAAUGGGCUGCCGAAAAUACUGUAGAACUAGGGAGUGGGAGAGGUAGACGGUACUCAGGAGGAAGGGGUAAAAUCCUUUGAUCUAUUGAGGACCACCUGUGGCGAAGGCGGUCUACCAGAACACGUUCGACGGUGAGGGAUGAAAGCUGGGGGAGCAAACCGGAUUAGAUACCCGGGUAGUCCCAGCCGUAAACGAUGCAGACUCGGUGAUGCGCUGGCUUGUGGCCAGUGCAGUGCCGCAGGGAAGCUGUUAAGUUUGCCGCCUGGGAAGUACGUACGCAAGUAUG
RNAcentral lists this ribosomal RNA (380 nucleotides) under uncultured Nitrososphaerota archaeon. RNAcentral describes it as "bacterial SSU rRNA". It matches the Rfam family "Archaeal small subunit ribosomal RNA", at positions 471 to 851 of the family's 1478-position model. The record is from RNAcentral. Lineage: Archaea; Thermoproteati; Nitrososphaerota.